CACGUAGUUAGCCGGGGCUUCUUAGUCAGGUACCGUCCUCUUUCUUCCCUGCUGAUAGAAGUUUACAUACCGAGAUACUUCUUCCUUCACGCGGCGUCGCUGCAUCAGGGUUCCCCCCGAUUGUGCAAUAUUCCCCACUGCUGCCUCCCGCAGGAGUCUGGGCCGUGUCUCAGUCCCAGUGUGGCCGUCCGCCCUCUCAGGCCGGCUACUGAUCGUGGGCUUGGUGGGCCGUUACCCCGGCCAACUACCUAAUCAGACGCGGACCCAUCGUGUACCGUACUAGAUAAGAUCUAGGCUUUCCGCCCUGUGCCAUGCGGCACUGUGCGCAUAUGCGGUAUUAGCAGCCGUUUCCGGCUGUUAUCCCCCGUGUACACGGCAGGUUGUCCACGCGUUACUCACCCGUCCGCCACUCAGCCACCCGGUCUUUGUACCCGAAAUCUCCGUCCGGGCGCUCCGUUCGACUUGCAUGUGUUAGGUCGACGCCGCCGAGCGUUCGUAUCCUCGUAGCCACGGAGUCUAAAAC
Molecule: ribosomal RNA, 523 nt
Filed under: uncultured Eubacteriales bacterium
Lineage: Bacteria; Bacillati; Bacillota; Clostridia; Eubacteriales
Description: uncultured Clostridiales bacterium partial 16S ribosomal RNA
Source: RNAcentral